This 491-nucleotide ribosomal RNA is filed under the name uncultured bacterium. RNAcentral describes it as "partial 16S ribosomal RNA". It matches the Rfam family "Bacterial small subunit ribosomal RNA", at positions 29 to 507 of the family's 1533-position model. The record is from RNAcentral.
AGUGAACGCUGGCGGUAGGCCUAACACAUGCAAGUCGAACGGCAGCACAGUAAGAGCUUGCUCUUACGGGUGGCGAGUGGCGGACGGGUGAGGAAUACAUCGGAAUCUACUUUUUCGUGGGGGAUAACGUAGGGAAACUUACGCUAAUACCGCAUACGACCUACGGGUGAAAGCAGGGGAUCUUCGGACCUUGCGCGAUUGAAUGAGCCGAUGUCGGAUUAGCUAGUUGGCGGGGUAAAGGCCCACCAAGGCGACGAUCCGUAGCGGGUCUGAGAGGAUGAUCAGCCACACGGAAACUGGAAAACGGUCCAGCCUCCUACGGAGGGCGCCAGUGGGAAUAUUGGACAAUGGGCGCAAGCCUGAUCCAGCCAUACCGCGUGGGUGAAGAAGGCCUUCGGGUUGUAAAGCCCUUUUGUUGGGAAAGAAAAGCAGCAGGUUAAUACCCCGCUGUUCUGACGGUACCCAAAGAAUAAGCACCGGCUAACUUCGUG